Molecule: long non-coding RNA, 4475 nt
Organism: Vespula vulgaris
Lineage: Eukaryota; Metazoa; Arthropoda; Insecta; Hymenoptera; Vespidae
Exons: 3
Source: RefSeq, a predicted model, not a curated record
AUAAGAAUUGGAAAAGUGAGUUGCUUCUGCAGACACAAUCGGGAUUAUUAACUUAAACUGUUUUAAUAAUGCUCAAUUUAUUUAAUAUAAUAACAAUAGAUGUAAGAAUAAUAUUCGGUUCAAGACAAUAAAUCAAAUAAUAAUCGUAGUAAUUAGUACAAUGAAAUGAUCUAAACAACAAUAGUCUAACAAUAAUCUAAGCGGAUGACCCGAACACAAUAAUCGUCGAGACAACGUGUGCGACCGGUUAAAUAAGGAGCUUUGCCCAAUCAUCGAAGAGCGAUUUGCCACGGUGUCGUUAUUGGCUAGUCGUAGCUCUCCCCUAGUUGGCGGCGGAAAUGUCUAAUGGCGGUUGCGGGCGUUGGGAUGUUGCGUGCUGGUAAAGAUGAGGUUUUGCAGACUUAGCGCACGUGUCACAUCUUUGUCACGUCCAUUGUUUCUUUGCUUUCCAUUGUUUAGACACAUCUCUCUUUGUACACUGAUGGGAAUCUUUGUUUAUAUUUAUAAUAAUAUCUGAUUCUUAUAUUGGUAGGGGCUAAUGUAGGAGGUAACACUAAGCACAAGCCUGAGAAAAAUUACAUUCCCUAGAGAAGCUCCUGUGUCGUAAGAUUGUGUGUCCUUUCGGCUUGUUGAGUGCACUUCUUCAAUAGCACGGGACUGGCACCUAACGAAAGGAUGUCAAACUCAAUCUCUCACCAUUUUAAAUUAAGUAUAGUAGCAAUUUUGCAAUACAAUUUUUCUUUUCCUGACAAAAAAAUAAUAGUUGGCAGGGAUUAAAUGAAAUGUUUUUACUUUUCCGAUACAUGUUUACAUUAAAUGAUUGAAUUGUAUAUUGUCCCCUUGGUAAUAAAUCUUAUAUGAAGUAUUUGAAAAUAAAUGUUGUUUUAAGUAGAAUCAUUUCUAGAAAAAUAACUGCACUAUUUGUAAAUAUAUCAAGAAAUGAAGUAUCUAUCUGAAUAUUUUUGUAAUGUAUAAAUUAGAUGUAAUUUAUUCAAUAUUUAAUAUAUAAAUAUAUUAAGAAAAAUUAAUAAUUUUCACACAUUUACAAAAACAAUAAAUAAUCUAUUUAAGGCAAUAAUUUCAAAUAGAUUCCAUAUAAGGAUGUAACUGAAUGAUCUGUACAAACUUUGAGAAUAAGUUCAAGAGACCUAACAAGUAGAAAAUAUUCUAUGAACAUGGGAUCAUAAAUGUUUGCUUAUAUAGUUAUGACGAUUCAAAGUUUUCCUGCAAUGACUAAAGAAAUUAUUAUGUCAAAUGGAUAUAUAUAAUAAUAUAAUACUAUAAAUACUGCUAUAUGGAAAUUUUUUAAUUUAUUUAGAACAGUAACGCCAUAAAUGUAAUAGAUGGAUAGUUUCUAUAUGAAAUAGAUAUUGAAUGAAGAUAGAUGCGAAUGAAACAAUUGAAGUAUCAUAAUAGGCAAUACUUUUAGUGGAUUACAUUAUGUUGAAGAUAAGUAGAAUUAUCUGCAUGUUAUUUAUGGAAACUGCUUCUUAUUAUCUUUAAUUGGAGACAAACUGGAAUCAUUAUGUAUUACGUCAAAUUUACGAUGCGAUGUUUAGUUUGUGUUAUUAAAGAUGUAACAUUAGAACUAUUGAUAAUUAUUGCGAUGUAUUAAAGUAGAUCUCAUAUGUAUCUCGGAAAAAAUAAAAGGAGAGUAAAAGAAAUUUGUAAAACAUAAAUAUAAAAUAGAUGAGAUUUGACAUAGUGUUAUAUUUUAUUAAUGGCAGAAUUACAAAGGGAUGCAAAAUAAUCACUUAACGUCAAAUAAUAUUAGUGAAGAGAAAAAUUCGGAAUAGAAAAAUAGCGGAAGAGAAAAAUCUACGUUUUCGAAAAACAAUUAUUCCAAAAAAUAUUUUAAUUAUUAUUAUUAUCAUUAUUAUUGUCAUUAUCAUUAUCAUUACUAUUAUUACUAUUAUCAUUAUCAUUACUAUUAUUACUAUUAUUACUAUUAUUACUAUUAUCAUUAUCAUUACUAUUAUUACUAUUAUUACUAUCAUUACUAUUACUAUUAUUGUUAUUGUUAUUGUUAUUGUUAUUAUUAUUAAUAUGUAUGUAUGUAUCAUUUGCUAGUAUGUUUUAUUAGUAAUGUUUUAUAUCCUUUUUUCUAAAAAUUUUUUUACGUUUUAUUUUUUUUGUAUCUAGAACAAGUUCAGAUAUUAUAUAUAAGCAUAGUAAAAGAACAGAAAAAAACAAUUAAAAUGUAAAAUAAAGACAAGGAAAGAAAGGUUUAUUACUUGGAAACACUAAACACAAAUGAUAUAAAACUGUUUAAUGCUAAAUGUUAGAAUUAAUUGUUAUAAAUUAAAAAUUACAAUGAAAGAUUACCUUAUGUGUUUAGCAUUAAAUACUUAAUUUCAUUGUAAAUUAUGAAAUACCAUAAUGAAUGAAAAUGAUGUUUGGAUUAACUAGAGGCAAAGUUUUUUAUUAGUGUGAAGUAUUUUGAUGCUUUAUAUUUAUAGAAUAUAUUUCAUCGUUGCAAGAAGAUAGUGAUAUUAUGCACAUAUUCUAUUGAUGCAUACAUGCGCACCCUCAGCAAUUUAUAGUACUUUCUCCUAAAGGCCUUAUAUCGUUAUAGAAAAGACAAAUAAAAAAUUAACUAAUAAAUAUUGUCAUCUUUAUCCGCGCUUAGAUAUCUUUAGUCAAGCAUAGCCUUGAAUAAUGUCGAACCGGAUAAUAGAUAAACAGUGAAACUGAACUCCUAGACAAAAUUUUAAUUAAUAUCAAUGCAACUCUCAUAGGUCCAUAAGGUUACCAAGACAAAGUUCGACAUAUGAGAUUGUUUAAACAUUUCGAACGAACUAUCCCGACACGCCCACAACAAAUAAAAAUAUUGCUCGAAAGAAAUCAAAAGUUAGUAGAUUCAAACCAUUCAUACUCAACAGUAAAAAAACCGAGUUUUAUCAGCAUCACAGGCUAUGCCUCAAUCAAAAGUAUCCUGCACAAUCUAAGUUAAUAUACAACUUUUGGACUAAAACCAUCAAGACCUUCGAGUCUUGCUAAACAUUACUCCUUCAGAGAUAGCCAACAUAGAUAAUUACACAUACAAUCACACAUCUGUAUCUCUUUAUUUCAAGAUAUAUUGUAUAAUUUCAAUUCGCGAAGUAUUCUUUAUUGUACAUUACCUUCACGAGCUCCACGGAAUCCUUCAAAGAAAUUGCGUUCUCUCAUUAAUUUGCGAACGGUAUUUUAGCGAAGACCUUAAACAAUUUCUAACCCUUAUGCUGCAGCCCUUAUUCCAAUGCGUCUACAAUUCUACAAUAAUUAAGAAAAGACGGGGAACGGAUCUUCCAUGUGAAUUGAUAUCGUUGGACCAACUAAUCGUAACUAAACGCGCUCUUGUAAUUGCGUCCAUAUGACGCAACAAAUUCAGCAUCGAAAUGUGCAUUUUAUUAUAGUGACAUGAAUCAGUAAAUAAAAAUCGAAGAAGAGGAUUUUUUGUGCAAUGGCUAGAUCAAAAGUGGACUGGUAGUUCUGACUAAAACCUCCUUAAACAGGUCAUUCAUCCGCUUACAUUCCCUUAUCAUGCCUUUAUUCAUACACAUAUAUUCUUGCCACGUGUGAUGUCUCAUUCUAUUUAUUCGUAUUCUCAAAAUUUAUUCUUUUUUUAUCUCGCACAUAAGGCUGACUCAACUAUUUCACACGCAUUACAAUAGUAAUAAUAAUGUGUGAUGAAGUAGAACGUAAUACAGAGGAUAAAAUAUUUAUUCUUUUUUAUCGAAUAGUAAUGUUAACACCUACAAUUUUAAUUGGUUUAACAUGCAAUAAGAAAUAUAUUUAUGAAGCGAGGUAUGAUUGAUGCAAGAUUUGAGGAAUUUAACAAGAUAAAUUUAUAUAAAGAAAAAUAUUGGAGUUUUUCUGAAAGGUGUUAUAUUCUCCAAAGGUGUUAUGAUGUCAGGACAUUUAUGCGACAUAUUAAGAUUCGGAAAAGAGCAUGAUAGAAUAGCGAUUAUUUGAUAGAUAAUAAAAAAGGCAUCAGUCCUAAGUGGAUCCUUAAAUUAUGCAUUCCUAAUCUUUCAUGAGUAAAAUAUAAAACAUAGGGAAAAAAUAAAAGGACGAAACAAUGACGCAAUAUAUGUGAGAAUUCUAACAAUUAAAAGUGAGAGUAAUUAAAUUUCUCAAUAAUCAACUAUCAAUAAUCUUAAGAAAGCAACUUACUUUAGAACGCUAGAAAAAGAUGAUCUUUGAAGAUUUUUUAAAAUAUAAAUAAAACGGCUAAUCUUCACGGACUUUUAGACCAAUUUAAUGAGCAUUUAAAGAAAUACAAAAAACUUUUUCAUUAAAAAAUGCUUUUAACAGACAAUUAUUAUUUGGCAACAGUCGUGACUCGUCAGCGGAGUUAUGCUUUGUUUAUUACAAUCUAGCGAGUUCAAUUUUCGCUUAAAACAAAGCUAAAGAGAUUUUUAAUUUCCUUGAAGUUUUGUCAUAAGUGAACUAAACAAAUAUUAUAAAAAAAUAUAAAAACAAAAACUGUGGAA